Long non-coding RNA from Lotus japonicus, 721 nucleotides. RefSeq lists it as uncharacterized. Lineage: Eukaryota; Viridiplantae; Streptophyta; Magnoliopsida; Fabales; Fabaceae. The record is from RefSeq and is a predicted model, not a curated record. The transcript is spliced from 4 exons.
UAGGUUUCAAAAUUGAAAACCCUAAAAUUAAAAACCCCCAAAUUGAAAUGUGAAGGGAAAUUGAAAACCCCAACUGCUACUGUUUUGCUUUGCUUUCCCUUUUGCUGAAUUUAGUUUGUGUAUAAGAAAUUGUACUGAAAUGAGAUUGGAUUUUACAUGAGAGUGACAUAUUCCAUCAAUUUUACUCCUAAUUGGUUUGAGAUUGGAAUGUGAAGGGAAGGGAAAUGGUUUGAUUUUUAAUUUAGCAAUUGCUGAUGUAGUUAGGUUUGAUUUAGUCAUUUAGUAAUUGGUGCUAGGUUCAUUUUGUCCCUGAUGAACGAGGCUAGCUUAUUUCUGCUUCAGAAGAUGGUUUGAUCUGCACAUUUGAUACCACGGGAGAUAUCAAUGAUGAUGAUCAUCUAGAGUCAUUGGAAAGAUGGCAAGCUUCAAUAGAAGACUACGAAAUCUUGCAAAAAGAGACACCAGAUGAUGAGGAAGUUAACCGGGCAUUGUUGGAAGCCAGAGCACAGCUCAAGAAAUAGAUGCUUAUAUAUGCAGAGCUCAAGCUUCACAUUUUAAAAAAUAGAAGGUGAUUAAUGUGGGAACUUCCAUUGCCAAGGUAGGGCUUUUUGGAGAGAGUUAUCAGAAGCUUUGGUGUUUAACGCAUAUUGAAACCUUGGGGUACAGUUUAUUUCGGUUAUCUGUUUAGUUCAGGUUACAAAGGUAUAUGAAAGUCUUUUCC